RNAcentral lists this signal recognition particle RNA (99 nucleotides) under Candidatus Kentrum sp. DK. RNAcentral describes it as "Candidatus Kentron sp. DK Bacterial small signal recognition particle RNA". It matches the Rfam family "Bacterial small signal recognition particle RNA". Rfam says of the family: The signal recognition particle (SRP) is a universally conserved ribonucleoprotein involved in the co-translational targeting of proteins to membranes. Archaeal SRP consists of a 7S RNA and homologues of the eukaryotic SRP19 and SRP54 proteins. In most bacteria, the SRP consists of a 4.5S RNA and the Ffh protein (a homologue of the eukaryotic SRP54 protein). The record is from RNAcentral. Lineage: Bacteria; Pseudomonadati; Pseudomonadota; Gammaproteobacteria.
ACGGCGGUUCCCCGCACCGCAAAGUCGCAAACCCCGUCAGGCCCGGAAGGGAGCAGCGGUAGCGAUGGAAGCGGGUGCCGGGGGUUGGCUGUCGUGGAU